RNAcentral lists this ribosomal RNA (1387 nucleotides) under Salmonella enterica subsp. enterica serovar Johannesburg. RNAcentral's name for it is "bacterial SSU rRNA". It matches the Rfam family "Bacterial small subunit ribosomal RNA". Lineage: Bacteria; Pseudomonadati; Pseudomonadota; Gammaproteobacteria; Enterobacterales; Enterobacteriaceae. The record is from RNAcentral.
CUGGAAACGGUGGCUAAUACCGCAUAACGUCGCAAGACCAAAGAGGGGGACCUUCGGGCCUCUUGCCAUCAGAUGUGCCCAGAUGGGAUUAGCUUGUUGGUGAGGUAACGGCUCACCAAGGCGACGAUCCCUAGCUGGUCUGAGAGGAUGACCAGCCACACUGGAACUGAGACACGGUCCAGACUCCUACGGGAGGCAGCAGUGGGGAAUAUUGCACAAUGGGCGCAAGCCUGAUGCAGCCAUGCCGCGUGUAUGAAGAAGGCCUUCGGGUUGUAAAGUACUUUCAGCGGGGAGGAAGGUGUUGUGGUUAAUAACCGCAGCAAUUGACGUUACCCGCAGAAGAAGCACCGGCUAACUCCGUGCCAGCAGCCGCGGUAAUACGGAGGGUGCAAGCGUUAAUCGGAAUUACUGGGCGUAAAGCGCACGCAGGCGGUCUGUCAAGUCGGAUGUGAAAUCCCCGGGCUCAACCUGGGAACUGCAUUCGAAACUGGCAGGCUUGAGUCUUGUAGAGGGGGGUAGAAUUCCAGGUGUAGCGGUGAAAUGCGUAGAGAUCUGGAGGAAUACCGGUGGCGAAGGCGGCCCCCUGGACAAAGACUGACGCUCAGGUGCGAAAGCGUGGGGAGCAAACAGGAUUAGAUACCCUGGUAGUCCACGCCGUAAACGAUGUCUACUUGGAGGUUGUGCCCUUGAGGCGUGGCUUCCGGAGCUAACGCGUUAAGUAGACCGCCUGGGGAGUACGGCCGCAAGGUUAAAACUCAAAUGAAUUGACGGGGGCCCGCACAAGCGGUGGAGCAUGUGGUUUAAUUCGAUGCAACGCGAAGAACCUUACCUGGUCUUGACAUCCACGGAAGAAUUCAGAGAUGGAUUUGUGCCUUCGGGAACCGUGAGACAGGUGCUGCAUGGCUGUCGUCAGCUCGUGUUGUGAAAUGUUGGGUUAAGUCCCGCAACGAGCGCAACCCUUAUCCUUUGUUGCCAGCGGUCCGGCCGGGAACUCAAAGGAGACUGCCAGUGAUAAACUGGAGGAAGGUGGGGAUGACGUCAAGUCAUCAUGGCCCUUACGACCAGGGCUACACACGUGCUACAAUGGCGCAUACAAAGAGAAGCGACCUCGCGAGAGCAAGCGGACCUCAUAAAGUGCGUCGUAGUCCGGAUUGGAGUCUGCAACUCGACUCCAUGAAGUCGGAAUCGCUAGUAAUCGUGGAUCAGAAUGCCACGGUGAAUACGUUCCCGGGCCUUGUACACACCGCCCGUCACACCAUGGGAGUGGGUUGCAAAAGAAGUAGGUAGCUUAACCUUCGGGAGGGCGCUUACCACUUUGUGAUUCAUGACUGGGGUGAAGUCGUAACAAGGUAACCGUAGGGGAACCUGCGGUUGGAUCACCUCCUUA